Molecule: ribosomal RNA, 527 nt
Filed under: uncultured bacterium
Lineage: Bacteria
Description: bacterial SSU rRNA
Rfam family: Bacterial small subunit ribosomal RNA
Source: RNAcentral
AGAGUUUGAUCAUGGCUCAGGAUGAACGCUAGCGGCAGGCCUAAUACAUGCAAGUCGGACGGGAUUUCGGUGUAGCUUGCUAUACCGGAUGAGAGUGGCGCACGGGUGCGUAACGCGUGAGCAACCUGCCCAUGUCAGGGGGAUAGCCCGUUGAAAGACGGAUUAAUACCGCAUAACACAUAAGUACCGCAUGGUUCUUAUGUCAAAUAUUUAUAGGACAUGGAUGGGCUCGCGUGGCAUUAGCUUGUUGGUAAGGUAACGGCUUACCAAGGCAAUGAUGCCUAGGGGCUCUGAGAGGAGUGACCCCCACACUGGUACUGAGACACGGACCAGACUCCUACGGGAGGCAGCAGUAGGGAAUAUUGGUCAAUGGGCGGGAGCCUGAACCAGCCAUGCCGCGUGCGGGAAGAAGGCCCUAUGGGUCGUAAACCGCUUUUAUACGGGAACAACCGCAGCUACGUGUAGCUGUCUGAGUGUACCGUAGGAAUAAGGAUCGGCUAACUCCGUGCCAGCAGCCGCGGUAAUAC